AGCUUUGCGCAGUGGCAGUAUCACAGCCAAUGAGGUUUAUACGACGCGGGAUGAUUGCUAAUGGAAAAAUCUUUAUAGCUCCGAGCCAUUUCAAUCAGUCCUGCAUUCCAAUGC
This 114-nucleotide small nuclear RNA is filed under the name Chinchilla lanigera (long-tailed chinchilla). RNAcentral's name for it is "U4 spliceosomal RNA (ENSCLAG00000020308.1)". It matches the Rfam family "U4 spliceosomal RNA". Rfam says of the family: U4 small nuclear RNA (U4 snRNA) is a component of the major U2-dependent spliceosome. The record is from Rfam by way of RNAcentral. Lineage: Eukaryota; Metazoa; Chordata; Mammalia; Rodentia; Chinchillidae.